CUUCUGAGCGCCUCCUAC
RNAcentral lists this non-coding RNA (18 nucleotides) under Arabidopsis thaliana (thale cress). Lineage: Eukaryota; Viridiplantae; Streptophyta; Magnoliopsida; Brassicales; Brassicaceae. The record is from RNAcentral.